UACGUAGGUGGCAAGCGUUGUCCGGAUUUAUUGGGCGUAAAGAGCGUGUAGGCGGCCAGGUAGGUCUGCUGUGAAAACUCGAAGCUCAACCUCGAGACGUCGGCGGAAACCAUCUGGCUAGAGUCCGGAAGAGGAGAGUGGAAUUCCUGGUGUAGCGGUGAAAUGCGCAGAUAUCAGGAAGAACACCUAUGGCGAAGGCAGCUCUCUGGGACGGUACUGACGCUGAGACGCGAAAGCGUGGGGAGCGAACAGG
This 253-nucleotide ribosomal RNA is filed under the name uncultured bacterium. RNAcentral's name for it is "partial 16S ribosomal RNA". It matches the Rfam family "Bacterial small subunit ribosomal RNA", at positions 524 to 776 of the family's 1533-position model. The record is from RNAcentral.